RNAcentral lists this ribosomal RNA (748 nucleotides) under uncultured bacterium. Its description in RNAcentral is "bacterial SSU rRNA". It matches the Rfam family "Bacterial small subunit ribosomal RNA", at positions 51 to 766 of the family's 1533-position model. The record is from RNAcentral.
ACACAUGCAAGUCGAACGAAAAGAGGGAAAGAGCUUGCUCUUUCCGGAAUUGAGUGGCAAACGGGUGAGUAACACGUAAACAACCUGCCUUCAGGAUGGGGACAACAGACGGAAACGACUGCUAAUACCGAAUAAGUUCCAAGAGCCGCAUGGCCCAUGGAAGAAAAGGUGGCCUCUACCUGUAAGCUAUCGCCUGAAGAGGGGUUUGCGUCUGAUUAGCUGGUUGGAGGGGUAACGGCCCACCAAGGCGACGAUCAGUAGCCGGUCUGAGAGGAUGAACGGCCACACUGGAACUGAGACACGGUCCAGACUCCUACGGGAGGCAGCAGUGGGGAAUCUUCCGCAAUGGGCGAAAGCCUGACGGAGCAACGCCGCGUGAGUGAUGACGGCCUUCGGGUUGUAAAACUCUGUGAUCCGGGACGAAAAGGCAGAGUGCGAAGAACAAACUGCAUUGACGGUACCGGAAAAGCAAGCCACGGCUAACUACGUGCCAGCAGCCGCGGUAAUACGUAGGUGGCAAGCGUUGUCCGGAAUUAUUGGGCGUAAAGCGCGCGCAGGCGGCUUCCCAAGUCCCUCUUAAAAGUGCGGGGCUUAACCCCGUGAUGGGAAGGAAACUGGGAAGCUGGAGUAUCGGAGAGGAAAGUGGAAUUCCUAGUGUAGCGGUGAAAUGCGUAGAGAUUAGGAAGAACACCGGUGGCGAAGGCGACUUUCUGGACGAAAACUGACGCUGAGGCGCGAAAGCGUGGGG